GGGUUGUGAGGUUAAGCGAAUAAGCGUACACGGUGGAUGCCUAGGCAAUCAGAGGCGAUGAAGGACGUGCUAAUCUGCGAAAAGCGUCGGUAAGGUGAUAUGAACCGUUAUACCCGACGAUAUCCGAAUGGGGAAACCCAGUAUCCAAUGGAUACUAUCAUUAACUGAAUCCAUAGGUUAAUGAGGCGAACCGGGAGAACUGAAACAUCUCAGUACCCCGAGGAAAAGAAAUCAACCGAGAUUCCCCUAGUAGCGGCGAGCGAACGGGGAGCAGCCCAGAGUCUUAAUCAAUAGCAGUGUCAGGAGAACGGUCUGGAAAGUCCGGCAGUAAAGGGUGAUAGCCCCGUAUCUGAAGAUGCUGUUAUUGUGAACUCGACGAGUAGGGCGGGACACGUGUUAUCCUGUCUGAAUAUGGGGGGACCAUCCUCCAAGGCUAAAUACUCCUGAUUGACCGAUAGUGAACCAGUACCGUGAGGGAAAGGCGAAAAGAACCCCGGCGAGGGGAGUGAAAAAGAACCUGAAACCGUGUACGUACAAGCAGUAGGAGCCUCUUUAUGGGGUGACUGCGUACCUUUUGUAUAAUGGGUCAGCGACUUAUAUUCUGUAGCGAGGUUAACCGUAUAGGGGAGCCGUAGGGAAACCGAGUCUUAACUGGGCGAAUGAGUUGCAGGGUAUAGACCCGAAACCCGGUGAUCUAUCCAUGGGCAGGUUGAAGGUUGGGUAACACUAACUGGAGGACCGAACCGACUAAUGUUGAAAAAUUAGCGGAUGACUUGUGGAUGGGGGUGAAAGGCCAAUCAAACCGGGAGAUAGCUGGUUCUCCCCGAAAGCUAUUUAGGUAGCGCCUCGUGAAUUCAUCUUCGGGGGUAGAGCACUGUUUCGACUAGGGGGUCAUCCCGACUUACCAACUCGAUGCAAACUGCGAAUACCGAAGAAUGUUAUCACGGGAGACACACGGCGGGUGCUAACGUCCGUCGUGAAGAGGGAAACAACCCAGACCGCCAGCUAAGGUCCCAAAGUCAUGGUUAAGUGGGAAACGAAGUGGGAAGGCUCAGACAGCCAGGAUGUUGGCUUAGAAGCAGCCAUCAUUUAAAGAAAGCGUAAUAGCUCACUGGUCGAGUCGGCCCGCGCGGAAGAUGUAACGGGGCUAAACCAUGCACCGAAGCUGCGGCAGCGACACGUAGUGUUGUUGGGUAGGGGAGCGUUCUGUAAGCCUGCGAAGGUGUACUGUGAGGUAUGCUGGAGGUAUCAGAAGUGCGAAUGCUGACAUAAGUAACGAUAAUGCGGGUGAAAACCCGCACGCCGGAAGACCAAGGGUUCCUGUCCAACGUUAAUCGGGGCAGGGUGAGUCGACCCCUAAGGCGAGGCUGAAAAGCGUAGUCGAUGGGAAACGGGUUAAUAUUCCCGUACUGGUGGUAACUGCGAUGGGGGAACGGAGAAGGCUAGGUUGUCCGGGCGACGGUCGUCCCGGUUCAAGCAGGUAGGCAGAGUGAUUAGGCAAAUCCGGUCACUUAAUGCUGAGAUGUGAUGACGAACCACCAAGGUGGUGAAGCAAUUGAUGCCCCGCUUCCAGGAAAAGCCUCUAAGCUUCAGGUUACCAACAAUCGUACCCCAAACCGACACAGGUGGUCAGGUAGAGAAUACUCAGGCGCUUGAGAGAACUCGGGUGAAGGAACUAGGCAAAAUGGUGCCGUAACUUCGGGAGAAGGCACGCUGGCGGUAGGUAAAGUCCUCGCGGACGGCGCUGAAGCCAGUCGAAGAUACCAGCUGGCUGCAACUGUUUAUUAAAAACACAGCACUGUGCAAACACGAAAGUGGACGUAUACGGUGUGACGCCUGCCCGGUGCUGGAAGGUUAAUUGAUGGGGUCAGCCGUAAGGCGAAGCUCCUGAUCGAAGCCCCAGUAAACGGCGGCCGUAACUAUAACGGUCCUAAGGUAGCGAAAUUCCUUGUCGGGUAAGUUCCGACCUGCACGAAUGGCGUAAUGAUGGCCAGGCUGUCUCCACCCGAGACUCAGUGAAAUUGAACUCGCUGUGAAGAUGCAGUGUACCCGCGGCAAGACGGAAAGACCCCGUGAACCUUUACUAUAGCUUGACACUGAACAUUGAGCCUUGAUGUGUAGGAUAGGUGGGAGGCUUUGAAGUGUGGACGCCAGUCUGCAUGGAGCCAACCUUGAAAUACCACCCUUUAACGUUUGAUGUUCUAACCUAGGCCCAUAAACUGGGUCGGGGACCGUGUCUGGUGGGUAGUUUGACUGGGGCGGUCUCCUCCUAAAGAGUAACGGAGGAGCACGAAGGUUGGCUAAGCAUGGUCGGACAUCAUGCGGUUAGUGCAAAGGCAUAAGCCAGCUUGACUGCGAGAGUGACGGCUCGAGCAGGUACGAAAGUAGGUCUUAGUGAUCCGGUGGUUCUGAAUGGAAGGGCCAUCGCUCAACGGAUAAAAGGUACUCCGGGGAUAACAGGCUGAUACCGCCCAAGAGUUCAUAUCGACGGCGGUGUUUGGCACCUCGAUGUCGGCUCAUCACAUCCUGGGGCUGAAGUAGGUCCCAAGGGUAUGGCUGUUCGCCAUUUAAAGUGGUACGCGAGCUGGGUUUAGAACGUCGUGAGACAGUUCGGUCCCUAUCUGCCGUGGGCGUUGGAAGAUUGAGAGGGGUUGCUCCUAGUACGAGAGGACCGGAGUGAACGCACCACUGGUGUUCGGGUUGUCAUGCCAAUGGCAUUGCCCGGUAGCUAAGUGCGGAAGAGAUAACCGCUGAAAGCAUCUAAGCGGGAAACUUGCCUCGAGAUGAGUCUUCCCUGUCGCUUUAAGCGACCUAAAGGAACGUUUAAGACUAAGACGUUGAUAGGCUGGGUGUGUAAGCGUAGCGAUACGUUGAGCUAACCAGUACUAAUGAACCGUGAGGCUUAACCUGACAACACCGAAAGUGUUUUG
This 2930-nucleotide ribosomal RNA is filed under the name Proteus mirabilis. Its description in RNAcentral is "23S ribosomal RNA". It matches the Rfam family "Bacterial large subunit ribosomal RNA". Lineage: Bacteria; Pseudomonadati; Pseudomonadota; Gammaproteobacteria; Enterobacterales; Morganellaceae. The record is from RNAcentral.